Molecule: transfer RNA, 78 nt
Filed under: Myxococcales bacterium
Lineage: Bacteria; Pseudomonadati; Myxococcota; Myxococcia; Myxococcales
Description: tRNA-Pro
Rfam family: tRNA
About the family: Transfer RNA (tRNA) molecules are approximately 80 nucleotides in length. Their secondary structure includes four short double-helical elements and three loops (D, anti-codon, and T loops).
Source: RNAcentral
CGGAGCGUGGCGCAGCCUGGUUAGCGCACUAUACUGGGGGUGUAGGGGUCGCUGGUUCGAAUCCAGUCGCUCCGACCA